Molecule: ribosomal RNA, 2752 nt
Filed under: Urbifossiella limnaea
Lineage: Bacteria; Pseudomonadati; Planctomycetota; Planctomycetia; Gemmatales; Gemmataceae
Description: Planctomycetes bacterium ETA_A1 23S ribosomal RNA
Rfam family: Bacterial large subunit ribosomal RNA
Source: RNAcentral
CAAGCUAGUAAGGGCGUGUGGGGGAUGUCUUGGCGCCGGGAGGCUCAAGGGCGCGACAGGCGGCGAAACGCCCGGGGGAGCCGUCAAGUGGGCUCUGAUCCCGGGGUACCCGAGCCAACGGGGGGAACUGAAACAUCUCAUUACCCCCAGGAAGAGAAAGAAACCUCGAUUCCGUCAGUAGCGGCGAGCGAACGCGGACGAGCCCAAACCGUGGGGGUAACCCCACGGGGUUGUAGGACCACCAGUAGGACCUGGACGGGGAGCGGAACGGCGUGGAACCGCCGGCGACACAGGGUGAAAGCCCCGUACGCGAAUCCUGAACAGGCCGGGUGGGAUCCUGAGUACGACCCAACACGUGGAAGUGGGUCCGAAUCCGCGGGGACCAUCCCGCAAGGCUAAAUACUCCCCGGCGACCGAUAGCGUAGAGUAGCGCGAGCGAACGAUGGGAAGAACCCCGAGAGGGGAGGACAGUGAACCUGAAACCACACGCCUACAAGCGGUAGGAGGGCUACGCGGGCAACCGCAUGCCUGACUGCGUGCCUUUUGCAUAAUGAUCCGGCGACUUGCCGUCGGCGGCAUGGUUAAGGGCCUUUGGCCCGCAGCCGCAGGGAAACCGAGUCCCAACGGGGCGUUGGGUCGUCGGCGGCAGACGCGAAACCACGUGACCGACGCCCGGCCAGGACGAAGGUGGGGUAACACCCACUGGACGACCGAACUCACGAGUGUUGAAAAACUCGGGGAUGAGCCGGGCGGGGGAGUGAAAGUCUAAUCAAACGUGGAGAUAGCUCGUUCUCUCCGAAAUAACUUUAGGGUUAGCGUCGGGCUAGUUGGUAGUGGGGGUAGAGCGACUGAUUCCGAACGGGGGCCUACCCGGCUACCCGUCGGAGCCAAACUCCGAAUACCACUAUACAAGGCCCGGCAGCUAGGCUCUGGGGGACAAUCUCCAGGGCCGAGAGGGGAACAGCCCGGACCGCCCGCUAAGGCCCCCGAAUGACGCUCAGUGCGAAAGGAGGUCGAACCCCGAGGACAGCCGGGAUGUUGGCUUAGAAGCAGCCACCAUUUAAAAAGUGCGUAAUAGCUUACCGGUCGAGGGGUUCCGCGCCGAUAAUGAACGGGACUCAAGCGUCAUGCCGAAGCGGCGGGUGUGUAGUUUACUACACGCGGUAGGAGAGCGUUGCACGUGCGGCGAAGCGAUACGGACAACGGGUCGUGGAGCGCGUGCAAGUGAUUAUGCCGGAACGAGUAGACGAUAAGACGGGUGAGAAUCCCGUCCGCCGUAAACCUAAGGUUUCCUGGGGAAGGUAAAUCCGCCCAGGGUCAGCCGGUGCCUAACCCGAGGCCGAGAGGCGUAGGGGACGGGGAGCAGGUUAAUAUUCCUGCGCUCCCGUGCGGUUUAACCCGGUGGGGAAAGGGUGCAGGCUUAUCAGAUUGCCUCAGGGCGAUUAAGACCCCGAUAUCCCGGACCCCGCCGGCAAGAAGUGCCGCGCGGAAACCGUACCAAAACCGACACAGGUGGGUGGGAUGAGUAUUCCAAGGCGCUCGAGAGAACUCUCGUGAAGGAACUCUGCAAAUUGGCCCCGUAACUUCGGGAUAAGGGGCGCUCACCUCCGGGUGAGCCGCAGCGAAAAGGGUCUAGCGACUGUUUACUAAAAACACAGGUCUGUGCGAAGGCGUGAGCCGCGGUAUACAGACUGACGCCUGCCCGGUGCCGGUAAGUUAAGGGAGGCGGUUAGCCCGCAAGGGCGAAGCUGGCGACCGAAGCUCCGGUAAACGGCGGCCGUAACUAUGACGGUCCUAAGGUAGCGAAGUUCCUUGUCGGGUAAGUUCCGACCUGCAUGAAUGGCGUAACGACUGGACCACUGUCUCCACGAGAGACUCGGUGAAACUGUAGUUGUCGUGAAGAUGCGACAUACCCGCAGCUAGACGGAAAGACCCCGUGAACCUUAACUGCAGCUUGGUAUUGGGUUUAGGCCCGGCAUGCGUAGCGUAGGUGGGAGGCCGUGAACCCCGCUUCUCGGAGCGGGGGGAGCCGUCGAUGAAACACCACCCUUGCCGUGCUUGAAUUCUAACCCGGUCCGGUGAACCCCGGCCGGGGACCGUGCUAAGUGGGCAGUUUGAUUGGGGCGAUCUCCUCCCAAACGGUAACGGAGGAGCCCAACGGUCCCCUCAGCCCGGUCGGCAAUCGGGCCUCGAGCGCAAACGCAGAAGGGGGCUUGACUGCGAGCCCGAUGGGGCGAGCAGGUGCGAAAGCAGGGGUUAGUGAUCCGGCGGUCCCGGAUGGAAGGGCCGUCGCUCAACAGAUAAAAGGUACUCCGGGGAUAACAGGCUUAUCUCCUCUGAGCGUUCAUAGCGGCGAGGAGGUUUGGCACCUCGAUGUCGGCUCAUCACGUCCUGGGGGUGGAGAAGCUCCCAAGGGUUCGGCUGUUCGCCGAUGAAAGUGGUACGUGAGCUGGGUUUAGACCGUCGUGAGACAGGUCGGUCCCUAUCUGCUGCGGGCGGACGAGACUCGCGGGGCUUCCUCCCUAGUACGAGAGGACUGGGAGGGACGCACCCCUGGUGUGCCGGUUAUCGCGCUAGCGGUACCGCCGGGUAGCCACGUGCGGAACGGAUAAACGCUGAAGGCAUAUAAGCGUGAAACUCCCCCCAAGAUCAGGUCUCGGUUCGUAAGAUGAAGGCUCCCGGGAGACGACCGGGUCGAUAGGCCGGACGUGCAAGCGUGGCGACACGCUCAGCCGACCGGUACUAACAGCCG